AUGCACACUGGUGUCUGCCAGCUCAUUUCAGUCAAUCCAGGGCAGCGGCACUGCUUGGCGGCUCCUUGGCCUGCCUUUGUCCGGGUUUUCCAGGACCUGCCACCACAGGUUCCCUCUAAUGUGUGUGUUUGCUGCUGCUGCUGCUGUGACAGCCAAGAGGUGGUCUGUGCCAAGUGGCAACCUCUCUGCCCUUCUUGGUGACAUGAUCUUAAAGGGGAACAACAGCUCUUUAAGAUCUGGGUGAGCCAGCGCACCCUCCCUCCUGAGAGCACACGUGUUCUUCCCCCUCCCCCUACUUCCCCCACAGGCAUGCAUCUUCUAAACACUAAGGAGGCUUGCAACAAGGGCAGCAGUGGGCAGCGGCAGUUCAUCCCAGAAGCCAUAGGCCAAGUGGACCCCAUGCCCAAUGGACUGGUGGAUUACAGCUGGGAACACAAGCUAGCCUGAUGCUGGACUGGAAUGUGCAAACAUGGAACAGAAACUGUGGGCAAGGGCUUUAACCCAGCUCUGCUAAGGACACACAGCUGGACUUCUUUGCUGGCUGGACGGAGGGAGAGGGGACCUCAGAAACUCAGAAGUGGGAAAUCAAGAGAAGGCUGAGCAGGGAGCAGGACAAGGAAGGACAGCUUCUCGGAGCCCAGGAGGUGCCACCCUGUGCCUCCGUGAGAGCGGUCGUGGAUUGAACUCCAAGAGCAGACAGGCCCACAACGCAAAACUGUCCAUUUGUGACAACAAAUGAGAAAACGUCUGUGUGCCCGUGUGUGGGUGCCUGUGUGUUGACACGUGACUACCUGGUCAACCGUCUCAAAAUGAAAAAAGAUUUAUGCCUUACGUUGUCCGCACCAUCGUUGGGACCCAGCCCAGCAAUUCGUGGAACUUCGAUUGUCACAUUAUACCUCCUUGUCACUCCUUCCACCAGAUUCUGUCCCCUUCUCUCCGCGCACCCAGCACGCUCUCACACACACACACACACACACACACACACACACACACAC
This is a long non-coding RNA of Myotis myotis, 995 nucleotides long. RefSeq lists it as uncharacterized. NCBI's taxonomy places the organism in Eukaryota, Metazoa, Chordata, Mammalia, Chiroptera, Vespertilionidae. The record is from RefSeq and is a predicted model, not a curated record. The transcript is spliced from 3 exons.